Long non-coding RNA from Gorilla gorilla gorilla (western lowland gorilla), 1212 nucleotides. RefSeq lists it as uncharacterized. The transcript is spliced from 3 exons. The record is from RefSeq and is a predicted model, not a curated record. Lineage: Eukaryota; Metazoa; Chordata; Mammalia; Primates; Hominidae.
GCCUGGAAAAGAAUCUCGAGCUCAAAUGGGAUCACAGCCCCAGCCAGCACCUUGAUUGCAGCCUGGUCAAACCUUAAGCAGAGGACUCUGCUAAGCCAUGCCCGGACUCCUGACCCACAGAACCUAUGAGAUAAUAAGUGUGGGUUGUUUUAAGCAGCUAAGUUUGUGGUAAUACGUUAUACAACAAUAGGAAACCGUGAAGAACCAUGGCUCUUCAAAAGGAGAUGGGACCAUCUACUUGCAGGAAAACAAGCUCAGGGCUCCCAUUGAUUCCACAUUAAGUAGCUCUGGUGGCCUUUACCUCAGGCUUUGAUGACAGACAGAGAAACCAACAAUUUAACCUGAUGCCUGCCUCUCCCCACGCCAGUGCUGAGGAGCUCCUGCAGAGAAAGCCUGCUCUUCCAGCCCUUGUACUCAGGACAGGUGCCGGGUGGUCCCUCAAGACCCUUUUUCAGCAGUAAAUCCUAGCUGCUUUCACUGAGUUCUCACUAGGUUUAUUUGGUUUAAUCUUGGUUGUCUGAGGUUCCACAACUCAUAACUGAUUUUGUGUUCUAUUUCUGGCCAGCAACUUCCUUGAGAUUAUGGAAACUUGAGUUGGGUGGAGUUGUCAGAUUUGAUUUAUUGGCUAUUUUGUUUCUCUUGAAUACGACAGGAGAAGGGAAGCAACUGCUCAUAUCUCCUUGGUUUACCUUCAUACAUAUUAGGGCAUAGUCAUGGGUAAGUAGGUCUUUCAGCAGUAAAAGGAACUCCUGUGUCUGUCCUGAGUUAAGCACAGUGACUAUGAUUUUGACACAGGUAGUACCUCCCACCCACCCUUAUAAGAACCAAGGCUUCUGAUAUGUAGGCUUAUUACAGCCCUAGCUGCUGUGCCUAUAUGUAAAGUGUCAGACUUUCAUUUACACUAAAUGUAUUUCAGAAUUAUAGAAGCGCCUUCAGAGAAAUCUUAAUUCAACAUGGUUUUAACAUUUAUAUGGAGUGACAGAAGAAAAACAAAACUUUAAUUUUCCAUUAGUCAAUUUUUUCAGUUGGUCACCAAAUCUGGCAUUCUGUGUAUACAUUAGGAAUAUUUAGCCUGAGAAGAAAUUUUAACACAAAAUAUUACCAGGUUAAUGAAUUUAUUUAUAAAGUAUUUUAAAUCUAAGGUGCUCCUGCACUGAUAGGUUUAUAGAGACUAAUGGGCACUGACACAAAUUUAAAAUUUAAAAACUCGAG